CGCCAGAACACUACGAGCAACAGCUUAAAACUCAAAGGACUUGGCGGUGCUCUACACCCCCCUAGAGGAGCCUGUUCUAUAAUCGACAACCCCCGAUAAACCUCACCAUCUAUUGCUAGUACAGCCUAUAUACCACCGUCCAGCCCACCCUUUAAAGGAAAAAUAGUAGGCACAAUUAUAUACAUAAAAACGUCAGGUCAAGGUGUAGCAUAUGAGAUGGGAAGAAAUGGGCUACAUUUUCUAACCUAGAAAACACGGAAAAGUUUAUGAAACAAAACUAUAAAGGAGGAUUUAGUAGUAAAAAGAAAAAAGAGUGUUCUUUUUAAACCGGCAAUGGAGCGCGCACACACCGCCCGUCACCCU
RNAcentral lists this ribosomal RNA (363 nucleotides) under Ichthyosaura alpestris (Alpine newt). Its description in RNAcentral is "partial 12S ribosomal RNA". It matches the Rfam family "Bacterial small subunit ribosomal RNA", at positions 870 to 1403 of the family's 1533-position model. Lineage: Eukaryota; Metazoa; Chordata; Amphibia; Caudata; Salamandridae. The record is from RNAcentral.